GACGAACGCUGGCGGCGUGCUUAACACAUGCAAGUCGAACGGAAAGGCCCGGCUUUUGUGGGGUGCUCGUUUGGCGAACGGGUGAGUAACACGUGUGUAACCUGCCCUUGACUGUGGGAUAACUUUAGGAAACUGGGGCUAAUACCGGAUAGGAUCUCCUGCUGCAUGGUGGGGGUUGGAAAGUUUCGGCGGUGGGGGAUGGACUCGCGGCUUAUCAGCUUGUUGGGGGGGUAGUGGCGUACCAGGGCUUUGACGGGUAGCCGGCCUGAGAGCGUUACCGGCCACAUUGGGACUGAGGUACGGACCAGAAUCCUACGGGAGGCAGCAGUGGGGAAUAUUGCACAAUGGGCGGAAGCCUGAGGCAGCAACGCCGCGUGCGGGAUGACGGCCUUCGGGUUGUAAACCGAUUUCGCCUGUGACGAAGCGUGAGUGACGGUAAUGGGUAAAGAAGCACCGGCUAACUACGUG
This 468-nucleotide ribosomal RNA is filed under the name uncultured bacterium. RNAcentral's name for it is "partial 16S ribosomal RNA". It matches the Rfam family "Bacterial small subunit ribosomal RNA", at positions 28 to 507 of the family's 1533-position model. The record is from RNAcentral.